GACGAACGCUGGCGGCGUGCUUAAUACAUGCAAGUCGAGCGAGGUCCAUCUGGUGGCAACACCAGUGAAGGCCGAGCGGCGAACGGGUGAGUAACACGUGAGCAACCUGCCCCGAAGUCUGGAAUAACAUCGGGAAACCGGUGCUAAUACCGGAUCGCCCCACCUGACCGCAUGAUCGGGUGAGGAAGGAUUUAUCGCUUCGGGAGGGGCGUCGCGGCCUAUCAGCAGUUGGUGGGGUAACGGCCUACCAAGGCGUCGACGGGUAGCUGGUCUGAGAGGACGACCAGCCACACUGGGACUGAGACACGGCCCAGACUCCUACGGGAGGCAGCAGUAGGGAAUCUUGCGCAAUGGGCGAAAGCCUGACGCAGCGACGCCGCGUGGGGGAGUGAAGGUCUUCGGAUUGUAAACCCCGUUUCGGGAGGGAAGAUGGAACGAGCAAUCGUUCGGACGGUACCUCCAGAAGCAGCCACGGCUAACUUCGUGCCA
Molecule: ribosomal RNA, 489 nt
Filed under: uncultured bacterium
Lineage: Bacteria
Description: bacterial SSU rRNA
Rfam family: Bacterial small subunit ribosomal RNA
Source: RNAcentral